GACGAACGCUGGCGGCGUGCUUAACACAUGCAAGUCGAACGGAAAGGCCCUGCUUUUGUGGGGUGCUCGAGUGGCGAACGGUUGAGUAACACGUGAGUAACCUGCCCUUGACUUUGGGAUAACUUCAGGAAACUGGGGCUAAUACUGGAUAGGAGCUCCUGCUGCAUGGUGGGGGUUGGAAAGUUUCGGCGGUUGGGGAUGGAAUCGCGGCUUAUCAGCUUGUUGGUGGGGUAGUGGCUUACCAAGGCAUUGACGGGUAGCCGGCCUGAGAGGGUGACCGGCCACAUUGGGACUGAGGUACGGCCCAGACUCAUACGGGAGGCAGCAGUGGGAAAUAUUGCACGAUGGGCGGAAGCCUGAUGCAGCAACGCCGCGUGCGGGAUGACGGCCUUCGGGUUGUAACCCGCUUUCGCCUGUGACGAAGCGUGAGUGACGGUAAUGGGUAAAGAAGCACCGGCUAACUACGUG
RNAcentral lists this ribosomal RNA (468 nucleotides) under uncultured bacterium. RNAcentral's name for it is "partial 16S ribosomal RNA". It matches the Rfam family "Bacterial small subunit ribosomal RNA", at positions 28 to 507 of the family's 1533-position model. The record is from RNAcentral.